Phoenix dactylifera (date palm) is the source of this 390-nucleotide non-coding RNA. Lineage: Eukaryota; Viridiplantae; Streptophyta; Magnoliopsida; Arecales; Arecaceae. The record is from RefSeq and is a predicted model, not a curated record.
CAAGAAGUAUGGCAAGGUGGUGUACGGAAGCGGUAUUCAGAACCCCCCAGCGCAGAGGCAGAUGAUGAUGCCGAGAGCUUGACUUGUUGCAGCGAAAUCAGCUUGUAAGGAGGGUGCUUUCAUUAGCAUGUUAUUCGAUGAUUGAAAUUUUACCAUGAUUUUUUUUUUUUUGUGAUUUAGGAGUCUAUUUACCUUCAAUUUCAUGGUUUUUUUUGUUGUUUUAGGAGUCUAUUUGCCAUCAACUUGCUUUUAAUAAGAUUUUUUUCUUUCAAUUCUGUUGGAUGGAUUUUAUAUAGUUGUGUGUAUGGUCUACAAAUAUUGUGGAAUAUGACGAUACUGGUCCUUUGCUUUAUUGGCAAUAAAGGAUGUUGCAAUCCCUCAAGUUUAUGA